Lutra lutra (Eurasian river otter) is the source of this 1505-nucleotide long non-coding RNA. RefSeq lists it as uncharacterized. The transcript is spliced from 3 exons. The record is from RefSeq and is a predicted model, not a curated record. Lineage: Eukaryota; Metazoa; Chordata; Mammalia; Carnivora; Mustelidae.
ACAAAUGGGUCAUAGAGAAUCAGCCUCAGUCAGCGACCCCAGCCCCCUGCACUUUGUCUCUGUGAGUCUGGGAAUCAACGGACACGGGCUGAAAUCCAAAUUUUGUAUGUCUCAGCUGUGCCGUUACAGGUAAGUUAUUCAUCCUUUCAGAGCCUGCAGUGGUUGCUUUGAUGACUAACUUAGCUGACCUGUGCGAAGCGCCUGGCACUGGGUAACCCCAAGCAAGAGCUUGCUGGAAAUGGUUGUCACAUUCCUAACAUAAAUCCUUUCUCAUCUUUCCAGCGUGUCGGUGUCGGUUGGCAUAAUCCAGUCAUGGCAUCUGAGCACUGCCUGCCCAGCACACGCACCCUUUGGAGACGUUUCACACACGGUGCCCCCCAGGAGCAUCUGCUCAGCAGGACAGCCAGGUGCCUUGAUGAGGAGAGCAGGGACCAAAAAGAAGGACUCCAGCCCGGUGCCUUCACUUGCCCGCUGUGCCACGUUGGACAAGCUCCGUCACUUCUCUGAGCCUCCGUUUCCUCCCUGUAAUACUGCCAGGAUCCCGCGCCCUGUCCGCAGAGGAUUUGGUGAGGAACUGAGUGUGAAGCACUUGGAAACCCACCCGCGUGAGGCAGAUCCUCGGUAAGUCACAGCUAGCUUCACUAUUCCCUUUUCACAGAUGGAGAAACCGAGUCCCAGAGAAAGGAAGUGACUCAUCCAAUGUCAUGUGGAAAGGACUCCUCACAGAGCUAGAGCUUAAAAGCCAGAUCUUUACAGUCCCAGUUAGUGCUCAGCUCCUCCUUUCUCAUGAUCGGGAUUUGUAACUAUUUCAUGACAAGUGUGUUUUCAGUGGGUGGAAAGACGCAACUUUGAACUCUGUGAGCCUGGCCAGUUUCAGCCUGAUCCAGAAGCAGCUCACUCAUAAAAGGACCCCUCUCUAGAAGAGAACAGGAGUCUCUUCUAGGUGGGUGUAGGAAGAACAAGACCCAGAGGCCAGAGGACCUGGAGGACAGAGGUGACAUAAUCACGGGUGUGAGCAGCAGCUUUGUGGUCAAAGAGACCCCCAUACAAAUCCCAUCUCUGCCAGUACUUAGCUGUGUGACCAGCCAACAGACACUAACUCUCUGAGCCUUGGUUUUUCAUCUGUAAAGCUUCCAACAGUACCUCUUUCAAAGGGAUGUAGUAGGAAUUCAAUCAGACAACAGAGUUAGAGUACCUGGCCCAGCCUUCCAAAGUCCCCAGGUCACAGAUGAGGCAGCUAAAUCCAAGACAGAAGAAGGGCCUUGGUGAAGACCACAGAGCCAGUCCUAUGACCCAAGACGUGCCAGGAGUCAGUGUGAGCUCAGUGACACAAAGAGAUUCUGACAGUGGCCAGAGGCUUUUCUGGGAAGAGAUCAGAAGUGAUCUUUCAGGGUACCUGGGUGGCUCAGUCGUUGGGCGUCUGCCUUCCGCUUGGGUCAUGAUCCCAGGGUCCUGGGAUCGAGCCCUGCAUCAGGCUCCCUACUCGGCGGGAGGCCUGCUUCUCC